Balaenoptera musculus (blue whale) is the source of this 129-nucleotide small nucleolar RNA. Ensembl annotates it as small nucleolar RNA, H/ACA box 11G. Its record names the gene SNORA11G. Lineage: Eukaryota; Metazoa; Chordata; Mammalia; Artiodactyla; Balaenopteridae. The record is from Ensembl.
GGGGUGUGCUCAGAGCAGAAUGCCCAAAGAAUGGCUCCUCUGUUUACAACACACCCGAUAGAAACUUGGGUUUACUCCUCACAGGUGGCAGGAUACUUUGGCCUCCCUGUGACACCAUGCCCUAUACAU